UGGGGAAUAUUGGACAAUGGGCGCAAGCCUGAUCCAGCAAUGCCGCGUGUGUGAAGAAGGCCUUCGGGUUGUAAAGCACUUUUAUCAGGAGCGAAACGCCGUCGGCUAAUACCCGGCGGAACUGACGGUACCUGAGGAAUAAGCACCGGCUAACUUCGUGCCAGCAGCCGCGGUAAUACGAAGGGUGCAAGCGUUAAUCGGAAUUACUGGGCGUAAAGCGUGCGUAGGCGGUUUCUUAAGUCUGCUGUGAAAUCCCCGGGCUCAACCUGGGAAUGGCAGUGGAUACUGGGAGGCUAGAGUGUGUCAGAGGGUGGUGGAAUUCCCGGUGUAGCGGUGAAAUGCGUAGAGAUCGGGAGGAACAUCAGUGGCGAAGGCGGCCACCUGGGACAACACUGACGCUGAGGCACGAAAGCGUGGGGAGCAAACAGGAUUAGAUACCCUGGUAGUCCACGCCCUAAAGCGAUGCGAACUGGAUGUUGGUCUCAACUCGGAGAUCAGUGUCGAAGCUAACGCGUUAAGUUCGCCGCCUGGGGAGUACGGUCGCAAGACUGAAACUCAAAGGAAUUGACGGGGUCAUAGCUGUUUCC
This 587-nucleotide ribosomal RNA is filed under the name uncultured bacterium. Its description in RNAcentral is "partial 16S ribosomal RNA". It matches the Rfam family "Bacterial small subunit ribosomal RNA", at positions 355 to 937 of the family's 1533-position model. The record is from RNAcentral.